ACAACCCCUGAAAAUGUCAAAAGCGACACAAAUUUUGCAGAGAAAAUUCUAAAUAACUGACUUCCUGUUGGGAUUCGAAUUUCGUACCAAGAGACUUUUUUGUAGGUAUUGGUGUGUUACAUGUGUGUACCGAUUUUUGUACAUGUACGUGAAACGUAGCUCGAGGCGCACUCCGUUGAAAAUGUAUAGGUGGCGCUAUCGAGGCAUUUUGCCACACCCAAUGGAAUAUUGGCCUUCAGAUGUGUUCAGGCCAGGACUCUUAUCGAACAUGUGAAGUUUGGGGAAGAUCGGACAUCUUAUGCCUGAGUUACAACAACUUCUAUUCCCAUGGCGAGACAUCGAACUUUGUCACAGCGCCAUGGCCACACCCUUUAAUGAAACCUCAAGAUGUUCACAAUU
This is a long non-coding RNA of Cyprinus carpio carpio, 399 nucleotides long. Lineage: Eukaryota; Metazoa; Chordata; Actinopteri; Cypriniformes; Cyprinidae. The record is from Ensembl.